UCCAAUCGAACCCGGAGAUAGCUGGUUCUCCCCGAAAUAGCUUUAGGGCUAGCGUUGUAUUAGAUUUCUGGGGGUAAAGCACUGAAUAGGCUAGGGGCCGAGAGGUUACUGAACCUUAUCAAACUAAGAAUACCAGAAAAUUGAUGUACAGCAGUCAGACUAUGUGAGAUAAGUCUCAUAGUCAAAAGGGAAACAGCCCAGACCCACAGCUAAGGUCCCAAAACAGAUUUAAGUGGAAAAGGAUGUGGGAUUGCCCAGACAACCAGGAUGUUGGCUUAGAAGCAGCCACACAUUAAAAGAGUGCGUAAUAGCUCACUGGUCGAGUGAUCCUGCGCCGAAAAUUCAACGGGGCUAAAAUUUGUACCGAAGCUUGGGCUUGAUACAUUCGUAUCAGGGGUAGGGGAGCGUCAUGUAUGAGGAGAAGUCAUAGCGGAAGCGGUGGUGGAUUGUACAUGAGAGAGAAUGCCGGAAUGAGUAGCGAGAAUUAUGUGAGAAUCAUAAUGGCCGAAAAUCUAAGGUUUCCUGAGGAAGGUUCGUCCGCUCAGGGUAAGCCGGGAGCUAAGGUGAGGCGGAAACGCGUAGCCGAUGCACAUACGGUAGAGAUUCCGUAGCCUCCGAAAAGUAAAGCACAGGGACGCUUCAGAAGUGUUACGCCGGGCGAUGGUUGCCCCGGUUGUAAAGGACACAAUUGAGUGGAAGGUAACAUGGAUGGAGACAAGAAAAGCUGUGUGUAUCUGGAAGGAGCCCGUACCGCAAACCGACACAGGUAGAUAGGAAGAAGAUUCUAAGGCCAGCGGGAGAAGGGUUGUUAAGGAACUCGGCAAGUUGACCCCGUAACUUCGGGAGAAGGGGUGCUUACGAAGGUAAGCCGCAGAGAAUAGGCUCAAGCAACUGUUUAGCAAAAACACAGCUCUAUGCUAAAUCGAAAGAUGACGUAUAUGGGGUGACACCUGCCCGGUGCUGGAAGGUUAAGAGGAGAUGUGAGAGCAUUGAAUUGAAGCCCCAGUAAACGGCGGCCGUAACUAUAACGGUCCUAAGGUAGCGAAAUUCCUUGUCAGGUAAGUUCUGACCCGCACGAAAGGUGUAACGAUUUGGGCACUGUCUCAACAACCUACCCGGCGAAAUUGUAGUACCGGUGAAGAUGCCGGUUACCCGCGACUAGACGGAAAGACCCCAUGGAGCUUCACUGUAGCUUAAUAUUGAAUUUUGGUAUUUCAUGUACAGGAUAGGUGGGAGACUGGGAAAUACAGGCGUCAGCUUGUAUGGAGUCACUGUUGGGAUACCACUCUUGAGGUGCUGAAAUUCUAACCUGCGUCUUUGAAUCAAGACGGGGGACAUUGUUAGGUGGGCAGUUUGACUGGGGCGGUCGCCUACUGAAAAAAGACCAAUCACAAAAGGAAAAGCAAU
RNAcentral lists this ribosomal RNA (1407 nucleotides) under human gut metagenome. RNAcentral's name for it is "bacterial LSU rRNA". It matches the Rfam family "Bacterial large subunit ribosomal RNA", at positions 828 to 2326 of the family's 2925-position model. The record is from RNAcentral.